GUUUGAUCCUGGCUCAGGAUGAACGCUAGCGGCAGGCUUAAUACAUGCAAGUCAAGGGGGUAGCAAUACAACCGGCGCACGGGUGAGUAACGCGUACACAACAUACCAUAUACUGGAGUAUAGCUUUGGGAAACUGAAGGUAAUCCUCCAUAACAUUGCGAGAGGGCAUCUGAUUGCAAUUAAAGUUCCGGCGGUAUAUGAUUGGUGUGCGUUUGAUUAGCUAGUUGGUAGGGUAACGGCCUACCAAGGCGACGAUCAAUAGCUGGCGUGAGAGCGCGACCAGCCACACUGGAACUGAGACACGGUCCAGACUCCUACGGGAGGCAGCAGUAGGGAAUAUUGGACAAUGGGCGAAAGCCUGAUCCAGCCAUGCCGCGUGAUAGAUGAAGGCCCUCUGGGUUGUAAAUAUCUUUUAUCUGGGAAGAAACUCCUCUAUUCUUAGAGGCCUGACGGUACCAGAGGAAUAAGCACCGGCUAACUCCGUG
This 485-nucleotide ribosomal RNA is filed under the name uncultured bacterium. RNAcentral describes it as "bacterial SSU rRNA". It matches the Rfam family "Bacterial small subunit ribosomal RNA", at positions 11 to 507 of the family's 1533-position model. The record is from RNAcentral.